This is a long non-coding RNA of Protopterus annectens (West African lungfish), 909 nucleotides long. RefSeq lists it as uncharacterized. The record is from RefSeq and is a predicted model, not a curated record. NCBI's taxonomy places the organism in Eukaryota, Metazoa, Chordata, Ceratodontiformes, Protopteridae. The transcript is spliced from 2 exons.
CAGGUAUCUUCGUAGUUCAUUUGAGGGGGAUGGAUAUCCUUCUGGAUCCUUAAUGUUUAGAAGGUUUAAGAAAUGGGACAGAAUGUCAGUAACUGAUUACAAACCAAUUUGCUGAAUGCAGCUGUUAAUUAACCCUAAUUACCACUAGGAUGAGACACUUUAAUUAAUGUUCAUUGUCAGCAAGAAAACCAAAUGUGCUGUAAAAUGAACAGACAUGGACAAAUGCAACUUUCCUCACAUUGGACUGAUGUAAAAGAUACAGUUUUUUAGAGAAUUUUCUGAAGUCUCUAAUUCUGAAGCUGUGAAUGCUGUUUGUUGACAUUUUAGACAGUGGUUUUAAUUUGUACCUUGACUACCUUGGUGAUAUAUAUCAGUUUGUAAAAAAAAAUAAUCUAAUUAAACCUGAUCCUGUAACUUCUGGGAUCCAUUCAUUCUACACUAUUUUACAUUUUGCUUUUAUUAAUAGUACAACAGAUAGAUCUUCAACAAACAUGCAGAACCAUUUUCAGUGUCUGCCGUAUAACGGCACAUUGAUUAAGGCCAGGACCAUAAUAGCUUUGAAGAUAUUAAUACAAAAUUUGCAGAAUUCUUUAAUGGUUCAUUCUUUGCUAUCAUUGUCUUUACUUUUGCUCUGUUGUUACAUUUCAGUUUCUAUUUUCUCUCAGGUAUAGCUUCCACACAAGUAAUUUGGGUUGCAUUACAUAGACUGUACCUGUUUAACUGCAAUCACAGCGUUCUCCUGCAUACAUGCUGUAGUGGUUGUAUGCAUGUUUUCAUCUUUCUCAAUGCACAAAGUCAGUAAGACAUUUAUGUGAAAAUAUGAAAUUUUGUACAACAAAACAAAUCUACAAUCACCACAAUGGGGCGUACUUCAAAUUUUUUCCAAAAUAAAUCCUCAUUGUUAUAGAA